UACGAAGGGGGCUAGCGUUGCUCGGAAUUACUGGGCGUAAAGGGCGCGUAGGCGGAUAGAUUAGUCAGAGGUGAAAGCCCAGGGCUCAACCUUGGAAUUGCCUUUGAUACUGUCUAUCUUGAGUUCGGAAGAGGUAAGUGGAAUGCCGAGUGUAGAGGUGAAAUUCGUAGAUAUUCGGCGGAACACCAGUGGCGAAGGCGACUUACUGGUCCGAUACUGACGCUGAGGCGCGAAAGCGUGGGGAGCAAACAGG
This 253-nucleotide ribosomal RNA is filed under the name uncultured bacterium. RNAcentral describes it as "partial 16S ribosomal RNA". It matches the Rfam family "Bacterial small subunit ribosomal RNA", at positions 524 to 776 of the family's 1533-position model. The record is from RNAcentral.